GAUGAACGCUAGCUACAGGCUUAACACAUGCAAGUCGAGGGGAAACGACAUCGAAAGCUUGCUUUUGAUGGGCGUCGACCGGCGCACGGGUGAGUAACGCGUAUCCAACCUGCCCACCACUUGGGGAUAACCUUGCGAAAGUAAGAUUAAUACCCGAUGGUUUCCUUUUAUCUCCUGAUAGAGGGAAUAAAGAAUUUCGGUAUGGGAUGGCGAUGCGUCCGAUUAGCUAGUUGGCGGGGUAACGGCCCACCAAGGCGACGAUCGGUAGGGGUUCUGAGAGGAAGGUCCCCCACAUUGGAACUGAGACACGGUCCAAACUCCUACGGGAGGCAGCAGUGAGGAAUAUUGGUCAAUGGGCGAGAGCCUGAACCAGCCAAGUAGCGUGCAGGAUGACGGCCCUAUGGGUUGUAAACUGCUUUAUAAGGGAAUAAAGUGAGCCUCGUGAGGCUUUUUGCAUGUACCUUAUGAAUAAGGACCGGCUAAUUCCGUG
Molecule: ribosomal RNA, 490 nt
Filed under: uncultured bacterium
Lineage: Bacteria
Description: bacterial SSU rRNA
Rfam family: Bacterial small subunit ribosomal RNA
Source: RNAcentral